GUCUUCGUGGUGUAAUGGUCAGCACACUCGGCGCGUAUUCAAGAAGUUCGAGGUUCGAGUCCCGGUGAGGGCA
Molecule: transfer RNA, 73 nt
Filed under: Stegodyphus mimosarum
Lineage: Eukaryota; Metazoa; Arthropoda; Arachnida; Araneae; Eresidae
Rfam family: tRNA
About the family: Transfer RNA (tRNA) molecules are approximately 80 nucleotides in length. Their secondary structure includes four short double-helical elements and three loops (D, anti-codon, and T loops).
Source: Rfam by way of RNAcentral